Molecule: ribosomal RNA, 1300 nt
Filed under: Fusibacter tunisiensis
Lineage: Bacteria; Bacillati; Bacillota; Clostridia; Eubacteriales; Fusibacteraceae
Description: partial 23S ribosomal RNA
Rfam family: Bacterial large subunit ribosomal RNA
Source: RNAcentral
GAGUUGUAUGGCGUAGACCCGAAACCGGGUGACCUAUCCAUGUGCAGGGUGAAGCGAGGGUAAAACCUCUUGGAGGCCCGAACCCAUAUCUGUUGAAAAAGGUUGGGAUGACAUGUGGAUAGCGGAGAAAUUCCAAUCGAACCCGGAGAUAGCUGGUUCUCCUCGAAAUAGCUUUAGGGCUAGCCUUGAGUUAAGAGAUACGGGGGUAGAGCACUGAAUGUCCUAGGGGCUUUCACCGGCUACCGAAGACUAUCAAACUCCGAAUACCGAUAUCUUAUACUCAGGAGUCAGACUAUGUGUGAUAAGAUUCAUAGUCGAAAGGGAAACAGCCCAGACCAUCAGCUAAGGUCCCAAAAUGUAAGUUAAGUGGGAAAGGAUGUGGGAUUGCACAGACAACUAGGAUGUUGGCUUAGAAGCAGCCAUACAUUUAAAGAGUGCGUAACAGCUCACUAGUCGAGUGAUCCUGCGCCGAAGAUUACCGGGGCUAAAACUUACUACCGAAGCUAUGGAAUUAGAGUAAUCUAAUUGGUAGAGGAGCAUUGUAUGAGGGGCGAAGCACGAUCGUAAGGACGUGUGGACAUCAUACAAGAGAGAAUGUUGGCAUGAGUAACGAGAGACGGGUGAGAAUCCCGUCCGCCGAAAACCUAAGGUUUCCUGAGGAAGGUUCGUCCGCUCAGGGUAAGUCAGGACCUAAGCCGAGGACGAAAGUCGUAGGCGAUGGACAACAGGUAAAGAUUCCUGUACCACCGAGAACCGAUUGAGAGAAGGAAUGACACAGGAGGUUAUGCUGAGCACGCGGUUGGAAGAGCGUGUCCAAGCAGCACGUCUGUGGCGUAGGCAAAUCCGCGCCAUGUAAGGACAAGCUGUGAUGGGGAGUGAAACUAGUAGCGAAGCAGCAGAUAUCACACUGUCGAGAAAAGUUUCUAUCGAGGGAGCAGGUGCCUGUACCGUAAACCGACACAGGUAGGAGAGUAGAGAAUACUAAGGCGAGCGAGAAAACCAUUGUUAAGGAACUCGGCAAAAUGACCCCGUAACUUCGGGAGAAGGGGUGCCGGAUCAGGUUCAGAGCUAGAUCCGGCCGCAGAGGAUAGGCCCAAGCGACUGUUUACCAAAAACACAGGUCUCUGCUAAAUCGAAAGAUGAUGUAUAGGGGCUGACGCCUGCCCGGUGCUGGAAGGUUAAGGGGAAGUGUUAGGGCAACCGAGGCACAGAACUGAAGCCCCAGUAAACGGCGGCCGUAACUAUAACGGUCCUAAGGUAGCGAAAUUCCUUGUCGGGUAAGUUCCGACCCGCACGAAAG